UAAGCCUGCGAAGGUGGCCUGUGAGGGUUGCUGGAGGUAUCAGAAGUGCGAAUGCUGACAUAAGUAACGAUAAAGCGGGUGAAAAGCCCGCUCGCCGGAAGACCAAGGGUUCCUGUCCAACGUUAAUCGGGGCAGGGUGAGUCGACCCCUAAGGCGAGGCCGAAAGGCGUAGUCGAUGGGAAACGGGUUAAUAUUCCCGUACUUGGUGUUACUGCGAAGGGGGGACGGAGAAGGCUAUGUUGGCCGGGCGACGGUUGUCCCGGUUUAAGCGUGUAGGUGUGUGUUCCAGGUAAAUCCGGUUCACUUUAACACUGAGGCGUGACGACGAGGCACUACGGUGCUGAAGCAACAAAUGCCCUGCUUCCAGGAAAAGCCUCUAAGCAUCAGGUAACAUCAAAUCGUACCCCAAACCGACACAGGUGGUCAGGUAGAGAAUACCAAGGCGCUUGAGAGAACUCGGGUGAAGGAACUAGGCAAAAUGGUGCCGUAACUUCGGGAGAAGGCACGCUGACACGUAGGUGAAGUGAUUUACUCAUGGAGCUGAAGUCAGUCGAAGAUACCAGCUGGCUGCAACUGUUUAUUAAAAACACAGCACUGUGCAAACACGAAAGUGGACGUAUACGGUGUGACGCCUGCCCGGUGCCGGAAGGUUAAUUGAUGGGGUCAGCGCAAGCGAAGCUCCUGAUCGAAGCCCCGGUAAACGGCGGCCGUAACUAUAACGGUCCUAAGGUAGCGAAAUUCCUUGUCGGGUAAGUUCCGACCUGCACGAAUGGCGUAAUGAUGGCCAGGCUGUCUCCACCCGAGACUCAGUGAAAUUGAACUCGCUGUGAAGAUGCAGUGUACCCGCGGCAAGACGGAAAGACCCCGUGAACCUUUACUAUAGCUUGACACUGAACAUUGAGCCUUGAUGUGUAGGAUAGGUGGGAGGCUUUGAAGUGUGGACGCCAGUCUGCAUGGAGCCGGCCUUGAAAUACCACCCUUUAAUGUUUGAUGUUCUAACGUGGACCCGUGAUCCGGGUUGCGGACAGUGUCUGGUGGGUAGUUUGACUGGGGCGGUCUCCUCCUAAAGAGUAACGGAGGAGCACGAAGGUUGGCUAAUCCUGGUCGGACAUCAGGAGGUUAGUGCAAUGGCAUAAGCCAGCUUGACUGCGAGCGUGACGGCGCGAGCAGGUGCGAAAGCAGGUCAUAGUGAUCCGGUGGUUCUGAAUGGAAGGGCCAUCGCUCAACGGAUAAAAGGUACUCCGGGGAUAACAGGCUGAUACCGCCCAAGAGUUCAUAUCGACGGCGGUGUUUGGCACCUCGAUGUCGGCUCAUCACAUCCUGGGGCUGAAGUAGGUCCCAAGGGUAUGGCUGUUCGCCAUUUAAAGUGGUACGCGAGCUGGGUUUAGAACGUCGUGAGACAGUUCGGUCCCUAUCUGCCGUGGGCGCUGGAGAACUGAGGGGGGCUGCUCCUAGUACGAGAGGACCGGAGUGGACGCAUCACUGGUGUUCGGGUUGUCAUGCCAAUGGCACUGCCCGGUAGCUAAAUGCGGAAGAGAUAAGUGCUGAAA
Molecule: ribosomal RNA, 1550 nt
Filed under: Salmonella enterica subsp. enterica serovar Pomona
Lineage: Bacteria; Pseudomonadati; Pseudomonadota; Gammaproteobacteria; Enterobacterales; Enterobacteriaceae
Description: partial 23S ribosomal RNA
Rfam family: Bacterial large subunit ribosomal RNA
Source: RNAcentral